Molecule: long non-coding RNA, 219 nt
Filed under: Helianthus annuus (common sunflower)
Lineage: Eukaryota; Viridiplantae; Streptophyta; Magnoliopsida; Asterales; Asteraceae
Description: sRNA HanXRQr2_Chr10g0436201
Source: RNAcentral
UUGACUGAUUACCUGUGAGUGCAUAACCUAGCAUACCGAGCAAACCAAGGUGAGUUCACACUCUUACUAAGGCAUGGGAUUCCCGGAUUGAGGGAAUGGGAUUGAAGGGUCGUUAGAUACUUAUGGAGCUUGCACAGGGAGGAGCGGGUCGUUGUGGAGCAUGGAUUAUGUUUUGAAACUUAUUGAACUUAUGUUACACAUUUGGGUUUUCGUACUUAU